This 253-nucleotide ribosomal RNA is filed under the name uncultured bacterium. RNAcentral describes it as "partial 16S ribosomal RNA". It matches the Rfam family "Bacterial small subunit ribosomal RNA", at positions 524 to 776 of the family's 1533-position model. The record is from RNAcentral.
UACGUAGGGAGCAAGCGUUGUCCGGAAUCAUUGGGCGUAAAGCGCGCGUAGGCGGCCCUGUAAGUCCGUUGUGAAAGUCAAAGGCUCAACCUUUGAAAGCCGAUGGAUACUGCAGGGCUAGAGUCCGGAAGAGGCGAGUGGAAUUCCUGGUGUAGCGGUGAAAUGCGCAGAUAUCAGGAAGAACACCUAUGGCGAAAGCAGCUCUCUGGGACGGUACUGACGCUGAGACGCGAAAGCGUGGGGAGCGAACAGG